AAGAGAUUUGAGUUUCAGAGUCUGCUCAACAGUGUUGCAUACAAAAGAAGGCAAAGGAACUGAACACGGACCUCAUGUGACCUUCACCACCCGAUCAGUUUAUCCAGGCAAGCACCAUACAUCCUUAUCACCAAGAAGAAACUACCCUUUGUGGGAACUCACCAGGAGGAAAAAGAGCAGGGGUCAGUUGGAAGAGCCAUUUGUCCUGUGCUGAAUUAGAGACUGCUGAGUUGUGCUGAAACCUAGUUCUCUUUGACUGAUAUUCAAAUGUCAUCAUAUGCUCCCUACACAUACAAGUCAAAGAGCUGGAGGAAAGGAUUGCAACAUGAGUGUGCUUUAUGAUAGUCCCUGGUGAAAUAAGUGGCCCUGGAUAAUGUUUCAGGAUAAUCCUUUAGGUCAUUGUUCUAUACCCACUUCCUUUACCAGCUGUCAAGGUGGCUCAUAUCAAAUUCUUCUUAAUGGGAGGAUCCAUUUCUACCUCCACUUUGCCCCAACCAAGACACACAAGCAUAUUUUCACACUGCUUUCAAAUGAUUUCUUAUCAAUUACCCCUUUUGGUUCCCCUUAUAAUGAAGAAGAAAUAGAUCCACACAUGGAAAGUGAAAGAGAUGUAGCUGAUAAUGCUAUGUGACAUGGACUAUGUCACUUCUGCCUCUGUCUGCAGUUUGCUUCCUCUGGUUUUGAAAAUUCACAGAAAAAAAUCAAUCAAUAAAUCAAUAAAACGGACCCCUCAUUUCUUCCUAUCCCAGAAUCCCACAGUUUCUAAAAUUAUUUUCCUGGAUGCAAAGGAAAGUAGACAUGUCUCUCUAUAGGAUCAUUCGUGUAUCCAAUUACUGUUUAUGCACCUGGUAUUCUAGCAGUGCUCCUAUUUAUCCCAUUUUUCUAUAGAGGAAAACAUGUUCUGUUCAGAGUCUGGUUCUGGUCUGCCUGGAGGCACAUGACAUCAAUUUCUCCCAGUA
Long non-coding RNA from Hyaena hyaena (striped hyena), 959 nucleotides. RefSeq lists it as uncharacterized. The transcript has 3 exons. Lineage: Eukaryota; Metazoa; Chordata; Mammalia; Carnivora; Hyaenidae. The record is from RefSeq and is a predicted model, not a curated record.